GCGGCCGUAGUCCAGCCUGGUAAGAUUUCAGCCCCCCAAGCUGAAGACCCGGGUUCAAAUCCCGGCGGCCGCACCA
Molecule: transfer RNA, 76 nt
Filed under: Candidatus Bathyarchaeota archaeon
Lineage: Archaea; Thermoproteati; Candidatus Bathyarchaeota
Also listed under: 1 other name
Description: tRNA-Gly
Rfam family: tRNA
About the family: Transfer RNA (tRNA) molecules are approximately 80 nucleotides in length. Their secondary structure includes four short double-helical elements and three loops (D, anti-codon, and T loops).
Source: RNAcentral